This 429-nucleotide ribosomal RNA is filed under the name Bacteroidota bacterium. Its description in RNAcentral is "Bacteroidetes bacterium partial 16S ribosomal RNA". It matches the Rfam family "Bacterial small subunit ribosomal RNA", at positions 355 to 776 of the family's 1533-position model. The record is from RNAcentral. Lineage: Bacteria; Pseudomonadati; Bacteroidota.
UAGGGAAUCUUCGGCAAUGGGGGGAACCCUGACCGAGCAACGCCGCGUGAGUGAAGAAGGUUUUCGGAUCGUAAAGCUCUGUUGUUAAGGAAGAACGAGUGUGAGAAUGGAAAGUUCAUACUGUGACGGUACUUAACCAGAAAGGGACGGCUAACUACGUGCCAGCAGCCGCGGUAAUACGUAGGUCCCGAGCGUUGUCCGGAUUUAUUGGGCGUAAAGCGAGCGCAGGCGGUUAGAUAAGUCUGAAGUUAAAGGCAGUGGCUCAACCAUUGUAGGCUUUGGAAACUGUUUAACUUGAGUGCAGAAGGGGAGAGUGGAAUUCCAUGUGUAGCGGUGAAAUUCGUAGAUAUAUGGAGGAACACCGGUGGCGAAAGCGGCUCUCUGGUCUGUAACUGACGCUGAGGCUCGAAAGCGUGGGGAGCGAACAGG